Molecule: ribosomal RNA, 440 nt
Filed under: uncultured bacterium
Lineage: Bacteria
Description: partial 16S ribosomal RNA
Rfam family: Bacterial small subunit ribosomal RNA
Source: RNAcentral
CCUACGGGUGGCAGCAGUGGGGAAUAUUGCACAAUGGGGGAAACCCUGAUGCAGCGACGCCGCGUGAGUGAAGAAGUAUUUCGGUACGUAAAGCUCUAUCAGCAGGGAAGAAAAUGACGGUACCUGACUAAGAAGCACCGGCUAACGACGUGCCAGCAGCCGCGGUAAUACGGAGGGGGCAAGCGUUAUCCGGAUUUACUGGGUGUAAAGGGAGCGUAGACGGUUACGCAAGUCUGGAGUGAAAGGCGUGCGCCCAACCCGCGGACUGCUUUGGAAACUGUAUAACUGGAGUGCAGGAGAGGUAAGUGGAAUUCCUGGUGUAGCGGUGAAAUGCGUAGAUAGUAGGAGGAACACCAGUGGCGAAGGCGGCUUACUGGACUGUAACUGACGUUGAGGCUCGAAAGCGUGGGGAGCAAACAGGAUUAGAUACCCGAGUAGUC